ACGGGGGGCUACGGGAGGCAGCAGUGAGGAAUAUUGGUCAAUGGAGGCAACUCUGAACCAGCCACGUCGCGUGAAGGAUGACGGCCCUACGGGUUGUAAACUUCUUUUAUACAGGAAUAAAUUUAGUCACGUGUGAUUAUUUGCAUGUACUGUAUGAAUAAGGAUCGGCUAACUCCGUGCCAGCAGCCGCGGUAAUA
Molecule: ribosomal RNA, 197 nt
Filed under: uncultured bacterium
Lineage: Bacteria
Description: partial 16S ribosomal RNA
Rfam family: Bacterial small subunit ribosomal RNA
Source: RNAcentral